Molecule: transfer RNA, 68 nt
Filed under: Marmota monax (woodchuck)
Lineage: Eukaryota; Metazoa; Chordata; Mammalia; Rodentia; Sciuridae
Description: tRNA.Ser
Source: RNAcentral
GGACUGUGGCUCAGUGGUAGAGUGCUCGCCUAGAACGUGCAAGGGCCUGGGUUCGAUCCUCAGCACCA